Molecule: ribosomal RNA, 497 nt
Filed under: uncultured bacterium
Lineage: Bacteria
Description: partial 16S ribosomal RNA
Rfam family: Bacterial small subunit ribosomal RNA
Source: RNAcentral
GAUGAACGCUGGCGGCGUGCCUAAUACAUGCAAGUCGAGCGGACAGACGAGGAGCUUGCUCCUCUUACGUUAGCGGCGGACGGGUGAGUAACACGUGGAUAACCUACCUAUAAGACUGGGAUAACUUCGGGAAACCGCAGCUAAUACCGGAUAAUAUCUUGAACCGCAUGGUUCCAUAGUGAAAAGCGGUUUUUCUGUCUCUUAUAGAUGGGUCCGCGCCUCAUUAGCUAGUUGGUAAGGUAACGGCUUACGAAGGCAACGAUGGGUAGCCGACCUGAGAGGGUGAUCGGCCACACGGGAACUGAGACACGGUCCAGACUCCUACGGGAGGCAGCAGUAGGGAAUCUUCCGGAAUGGGCGAAAGCGUGACGGAGCAACGCCGCGGGAGUGAUGAAGGUCUUCGGAUCGGAAAACUCUGUUAUUAGGGAAGAACAAAUGUGUAAGUAACUAUGAACGUAUUGACGGUACCUAAUAAGAAAGCCACGGCUAACUACGUG